CCUACGGGGGGCAGCAGUAGGGAAUAUUGCUCAAUGGGGGAAACCCUGAAGCAGCAACGCCGCGUGGAGGAUGAAGGUUUUCGGAUUGUAAACCUCUGUCAGCAGGGAAGAACGGUCACUGUGCUAAUCAGCAGUGAAUUGACGGUACCUGCAAAGGAAGCACCGGCUAACUCCGUGCCAGCAGCCGCGGUAAUACGGAGGGUGCGAGCGUUAAUCGGAAUUACUGGGCGUAAAGCGCUCGUAGGCGGUAUGUCAAGUCAAGGGUGAAAUCCCCGCGCUCAACGUGGGAACUGCCUUUGAAACUGGCAAACUGGAGUGUGUGAGAGGAUAGUGGAAUUCCAGGUGUAGGAGUGAAAUCCGUAGAUAUCUGGAGGAACAUCAGUGGCGAAGGCGACUAUCUGGCACAUAACUGACGCUGAGGAGCGAAAGCGUGGGUAGCAAACAGGAUUAGAUACCCCUGUAGUC
This 465-nucleotide ribosomal RNA is filed under the name uncultured bacterium. RNAcentral's name for it is "partial 16S ribosomal RNA". It matches the Rfam family "Bacterial small subunit ribosomal RNA", at positions 338 to 795 of the family's 1533-position model. The record is from RNAcentral.